This 274-nucleotide ribosomal RNA is filed under the name uncultured bacterium. RNAcentral describes it as "partial 16S ribosomal RNA". It matches the Rfam family "Bacterial small subunit ribosomal RNA", at positions 523 to 796 of the family's 1533-position model. The record is from RNAcentral.
AUACGGAGGGUGCAAGCGUUAUUCGGAAUCACUGGGCGUAAAGGACGCGUAGGCGGGUUGGCAAGUCAGAUGUGAAAUCCUACAGCUUAACUGUAGAACUGCAUUUGAAACUGCUAACCUAGAGUAUGGGAGGGGGAGAUGGAAUUAGUGGUGUAGGGGUAAAAUCCGUAGAUAUCACUAGGAAUACCGAAAGCGAAGGCGUUCUCCUGGAACAUAACUGACGCUAAGGCGUGAAAGCGUGGGGAGCAAACAGGAUUAGAAACCCGAGUAGUCC